Molecule: small nuclear RNA, 110 nt
Filed under: Microcebus murinus (gray mouse lemur)
Lineage: Eukaryota; Metazoa; Chordata; Mammalia; Primates; Cheirogaleidae
Source: RNAcentral
GUGGUACUCACUUUGGCAACACAUAUUUUAAAAUUAGAAUGAUACAGAGAAGAUUAGCAUAGCCCCUGUGCAAGGACAACACACAGAUUCAUGAAGAAUUCUAAAUUUUU